GACGAACGCUGGCGGCGUGCCUAAUACAUGCAAGUGGGACGCAAGGAAACACACUGUGCUUGCACACCGUGUUUUCUUGAGUCGCGAACGGGUGAGUAACGCGUAGGUAACCUGCCUAUUAGCGGGGGAUAACUAUUGGAAACGAUAGCUAAUACCGCAUAAUAUUAAUUAUUGCAUGAUAAUUGAUUGAAAGAUGCAAGCGCAUCACUAGUAGAUGGACCUGCGUUGUAUUAGCUAGUUGGUAAGGUAAGAGCUUACCAAGGCGACGAUACAUAGCCGACCUGAGAGGGUGAUUGGCCACACUGGGACUGAGACACGGCCCAGACUCCUACGGGAGGCAGCAGUAGGGAAUCUUCGGGAAUGGACGAAAGUCUGACCGGGCAACGCCGCGUGAGUGAAGAAGGUUUUCGGAUCGUAAAGCUCUGUUGUAAGGCAAGAACGUGUGUGAGAGUGGAAAGUUCACACAGUGACGGUAGCUUACCAGAAAGGGACGGCUAACUACGUG
Molecule: ribosomal RNA, 505 nt
Filed under: uncultured bacterium
Lineage: Bacteria
Description: partial 16S ribosomal RNA
Rfam family: Bacterial small subunit ribosomal RNA
Source: RNAcentral